CAAACUAAAGAUGGCGACCGGCGCACGGGUGAGUAACACGUAUCCAACCUGCCGAUAACUCGGGGAUAGCCUUUCGAAAGAAAGAUUAAUAUCCGAUAGUAUAUUAAAACCGCAUGGUUUUACUAUUAAAGAAUUUCGGUUAUCGAUGGGGAUGCGUUCCAUUAGUUUGUUGGCGGGGUAACGGCCCACCAAGACUACGAUGGAUAGGGGUUCUGAGAGGAAGGUCCCCCACAUUGGAACUGAGACACGGUCCAA
Molecule: ribosomal RNA, 255 nt
Filed under: uncultured bacterium
Lineage: Bacteria
Description: partial 16S ribosomal RNA
Rfam family: Bacterial small subunit ribosomal RNA
Source: RNAcentral